Long non-coding RNA from Humulus lupulus (European hop), 3386 nucleotides. RefSeq lists it as uncharacterized. The transcript has 3 exons. Lineage: Eukaryota; Viridiplantae; Streptophyta; Magnoliopsida; Rosales; Cannabaceae. The record is from RefSeq and is a predicted model, not a curated record.
UUAGACAUACCCCACAUUUUGUGGGAUUUCACCCUUUGAGGAACCAAUCAGAUUGCUAGGAAAAAUUUCUUGUUAUAGCAGUUAUACCUUUUUGUACUAUAUAUACUCCUCUCUAAUCAUUGUACAUUUACUGUGGAAAUUAUUACACUGUGUAUUGAAAAGGCAUUACUCUCUUUUCUUCCUUUUUAUUUGUUUAAUCUUUAUUUUUUGAUUUGGUAUCAGUUGCCAAUGGAAACUCCUGCCUCUCAUAGUGAUUCCUCAGUCAGCAAUGUGCGCACUGCGGAUCCUCCGGUUCCUCCACUAGCUGUUGACGCUCCACCACCAGCUCCAGCUCCAGCUCCAGCUCCAGCUUCGGUCGCCCCUGCUUUGUUAGCCUAUGCUGCUCCUUUGCUCCAGUCCCUUGCUCCUACCAUUCGGUUGGACAAAGACAACUACCUCUACUGGCGUUCUCAAGUGCUUCAUGCUGCGCGAGCUCAUGACUUAGAAGGCUAUCUCUUUGGCACCAGACCCUGUCCUCCUCAGUUCCUUGAUGCACCACCUGACGCUAACCUGAUGUGCCAAGACAGGCAUAGGGUGUGUGGUACCAAAGUAGUUGUGGUGCAUGCAGGCGCUUUGCUGCAAGAUACUCUGAUAGCGUUCCUGGCGAGCUGGAGCUUUGUUGCGAGGUACUUUGGUAGAGGCGGUUUUGAGCAUAUCUCCAACAACCAAGAGCAUCCAUUAGUGGUUCCUUAUCCGCGUGAGGUAUUCCUUUAUUCUUUCUUUUAGUAUUCUUAUCCUUGGAGGGUUUAAGUUACCACUUGGGAGUGGUGUUAUUUUAGCCCCAGUACCCCCUAAUGUGAUGCUCUGUGCUAGCGUCCAUUAGCAUGUUCACCUCACACACACACUACCACAUACCAUAGUUGGCCCCCCUUUUAUGUGUAAGUUUGUAGGGGUUUUAAACCCACUCUUUUGUAUUUUGUAGCACAACAUACAUUGCACACACAUUUGCACUAUCGUUCUUCAUGAGAUGCGUUCCAUGGCUUUCGACGGGUCGUCUAGCGUACCUCCCGGUAUUGAACCCAUAGAGCUAUCUUCGUCGAAUUCAGAGCCUUCUAUAUAUAACCCACACCAUGUGCAUGAGAUCUUAAGGAAGGCUUGUAUGUAUCAUUUGGAUCGGUUAAUUGACCUUAGGCAAAAAAUUUAGGUUGUUGAAAGUGAGAUAGACUUUGUCUCAAGGGGUGAGGGGUUGCUUCUUCUAGGGACCCCGAUGACUACAUUGCUAAUUUUAGAGCAAGCCUUCUGGACUUACAAAUGGAGCUGAUGUUUAUGGAAGAGAACCUUUCGCUAGAACCUCCACUUUCUGGCUCUCCUCUUUAUGAGGAAGCUUCCUAUAACAAUUUCAAAGCCACCUCUGGAUCCCUUCAACCAUUAUUUAUAGUGUAUGCAUUUCUAACGCUUCCACCUCCAACACCUAGGUGGAAAAUUCCUACGUGCAUAAAGCAUCGGGGAUGUAAAUGGAAGGUAAAAUGUCAUGUACAAAUGUCAUCCUUUUCUUUUGGUCUUUCAGAUAUGUCAAAGAAAGGCCAUCAAAAAGUGGCUUCCGAGAAGCUGGACUUCAGUCCCCUGUUAGCGACUUCCCUUGUCUCCCAUAUGUCAGAGAAUAAGUUAAUGAAACUAAUGGAGAAAUACUACAUAAGUGGUUAGUUCCAAUGCUACGUGCUCAAUUCUAAGUGUCGGGAUCAUGAGCCACCCCUAGUUCUACAACGUUCAGUGAGCAUAUACUGAAGGAGGGAGGUUCGUUUCCUCUCCAUCCGUUCUUUGAAGAAGUACUCAAGUACUUCAGGCUUGCUCCACUUCAGCUGGUGCCACAUAGUUGACUGAAUCUCAGUUGCUUGUACAUGGCAUAUAUGAGAUGCGAGGGUCAUGCUCCUACGACGAAGGAGGUGCACUUCAUGCACAAUCUCAUGCCGACUCCUAAGUCGAAGGGCUUUAUUUUUUCUGCAGAAGGCCAAUACCCAAGUUCUGUUGAGGGAGGGUAGCGUCACCAAUCCUAGCUCGUGGAAACAAGAUUUCUUCUUCGUCAAGGGCUGCCCCUCAGUUCGUGAACAUUUUCACACCUCUCCAAGUAAGCGUCGUACCUCUAUUUUUUUUUAUUAUCAUUGUUGUUAGGCUAACAAUUGAGCUGGUGGUUCAGGGGACCUCCCUCCUCUGAAAAUAUCUACACAACAACUUGUUUGCGUGGAGACCUUGGCUAAGGUAGACGUUAUGGAGAAAAUAGCGAAUUACAUUUUUACUACAACAAACCUCAAUGCCUAUGGUCUUUUUGGCGUCUCCAGUCCUGAUUUUUUGUGGUAUAUUAUGGAGCAGAAGAAAAAGGUCCUUCCGACAGGCACAUACUCAUUUGAUGGAAAUGACGACUGGGUUUAAGAUGAACCUUCUCUAGAGUCCAAGCGACCGGACCGCGUAUCUCCUGCUUCUGUGGACCCAGAUAUAGCCUCCCAUUCGCGAGCUCCACCUUCCAAUCCAGGGCGCUUUGUCUUGCCUUCUUACGGUGAGUUCAAUGUUGCUCCUAGAAAAUUCCCUAGUUAUUGAACUUCUAGAGGUCCUCUGCCUCGUUUAGCUAGUGCGUCAUCUAUCCCUGUUCAUCUAGACGCUCCUAGUUCGAGUGAGGUGCCAUGGGUGAAUUACGUGUCGGCUUCUUUUGUGUAGAGGUUUACCCGUGCGGAUGAGGAUGUUGCAGAGCCCAAGUGGAGGGGCCUUGAGAGUUUUAAUAUGACCGAGCUAGGGGAGACUCUCAUGUAUUCCACUACCUGGACUUAUCUCGUGGCUCAGCACUUAAUAGCUUCGAAAAAAGACCUAUCUUUGGCCGGGGUGGAGAAUGAUCGACUUACUGUCAAGAUUUAGGGACUCGAGAAACAGCUUGCUGAGGCCACACACAAGAUAGAAGCAGCCGUAGCGAAGGCUUCCUCUUCGUCCAAGAGUAAGAAAAUGGCGGAAGCUAAAGUUUUGGUGUUGCGGGAGAAGAUUAGUUCUCUUGAGGCGGAACUAGUGGAGGUCGAGUACAAGUCAAUGGAGCGAACCUUGUAUGGUGUGUAGAGACAGAAUCCUGGCUUCGACUUCUCCUCAUUCGGUGACCAUGUUGUUGCUAAGGCUGCAGAAUGGAGUGCUCGCGGCGGGAAACCAUGAUGUAUUUUCUUGCCUUGUCUUUCGCUCCCAUCUAUGGGCAACUUAUUUCUUUUUACUUUGAUUGGGUUGUAAUGCUACUUGAUUUGUUUUUCCUGAGAGGUUUCUCUAGGUCUCUUGUUUUCUUUGCGAGGAACUUUAAUAAGUUAUGGUUAGUCUUAUGCUUAUUUUGUGAUGGAACAAUAUCAUGUCCUUUUAUGCAUGUGGGCUUCUUAUUAACACCU